Long non-coding RNA from Erigeron canadensis, 168 nucleotides. RefSeq lists it as uncharacterized. The record is from RefSeq and is a predicted model, not a curated record. The transcript has 2 exons. NCBI's taxonomy places the organism in Eukaryota, Viridiplantae, Streptophyta, Magnoliopsida, Asterales, Asteraceae.
GAUCUCACUUUUGAUCAGCCCUCUUUCACUCUCAAUUCAAGUUAAAGAUUUAGGUGCGUAGCGUGGACCACCCUUUUGGACUCUAAUAUGCUUGUAUGGUUGGACGAGUAUUGCAAACAUUUAAUCAUUUUAAUUAUGAAUUUGGUUGUGUAAUGGAUUUGGACGUCA